This 490-nucleotide ribosomal RNA is filed under the name uncultured bacterium. RNAcentral's name for it is "partial 16S ribosomal RNA". It matches the Rfam family "Bacterial small subunit ribosomal RNA", at positions 28 to 506 of the family's 1533-position model. The record is from RNAcentral.
GAUGAACGCUGGCUACAGGCUUAACACAUGCAAGUCGAGGGGAAACGCCGGGGAAGCUUGCUUCUCCGGGCGUCGACCGGCGCACGGGUGAGUAACGCGUAUCCAACCUGCCUCUGACUGAGGGAUAACCCGUCGAAAGUCGGCCUAAUACCCCAUGGCACCGUCUGCGGGCAUCCAACGACGAUUAAAGAUUUCAUCGGUCAGGGACGGGGAUGCGUCUGAUUAGGUUGUUGGCGGGGUAACGGCCCACCAAGGCUACGAUCAGUAGGGGUUCUGGGAGGAAGGACCCCGACAUUGGAACUGGGACACGGUCCAAACUCCUACGGGAGGCAGCAGUGAGGAAUAUUGGUCAGUGAGCGGGAGCCUGAACCAGCCAAGUAGCGUGCAGGAUGACGGGCCUAUGGAUUGUAAACUGCUUUUAUGAGGGGAUAAAGUGAGAGACGUGUCCUUCAUUGCAGGUACCGCAUGAAUAAGGACCGGCUAAUUCCGU